This 77-nucleotide transfer RNA is filed under the name Salibacterium salarium. RNAcentral's name for it is "tRNA-Arg". It matches the Rfam family "tRNA". From Rfam's summary of the family: Transfer RNA (tRNA) molecules are approximately 80 nucleotides in length. RNAcentral also lists the same sequence under 1 other name. Lineage: Bacteria; Bacillati; Bacillota; Bacilli; Caryophanales; Bacillaceae. The record is from RNAcentral.
GUCCCAGUAGCUCAGCUGGAUAGAGCAACGGCCUUCUAAGCCGUAGGUCGCAGGUUCGAAUCCUGCCUGGGACACCA